This 163-nucleotide small RNA is filed under the name Lepidothrix coronata (blue-crowned manakin). RNAcentral's name for it is "TUC338 (ENSLCOG00000002441.1)". Lineage: Eukaryota; Metazoa; Chordata; Aves; Passeriformes; Pipridae. The record is from RNAcentral.
UUCAGAGAACUGGAAAGUUAAGUUCUGAAUUUGCCCACAGAGGAUGUAGAGCACAGGCAAGUGUCUGUGCUCCACAGCAUUGACGAGUCUCAGCCCUGACCCAAAGAGACCCAGCCAGCAGGGAUGAGGUGGUAGCUUCCUCUUCAUUAAUCCCUUAGGGGCU